RNAcentral lists this ribosomal RNA (251 nucleotides) under Mantidactylus ulcerosus. Its description in RNAcentral is "partial large subunit ribosomal RNA". Lineage: Eukaryota; Metazoa; Chordata; Amphibia; Anura; Mantellidae. The record is from RNAcentral.
UAAACCCAACUACACUCCCGACUCUCAAAACCACUAAACUCCCGGGACCCUACUACGUUGGUUUUAGGUUGGGGCGACCACGGAGUACAAUAAAACCUCCACAAUGAACAGGACUAUUCCUUUAUCUAAGAGCUACACCUCUAAGAAUUGACACAUCAACAUAAUAUGAUCCAUUUUUUGAUCAAUGAACCAAGUUACCCUGGGGAUAACAGCGCAAUCCAUUUCAAGAGCCCCUAUCGACAAAUGGGUUU